UGGGGGUUGCUCUGUCCUGCGUUUGUUUGCAGAUGUGACUGGUGCAGGUGAUCCAGGAUCCGCUCUGAGCUCUGGGACCAAAACUCUGGCAGAAGGCAUGGAAGUGCCCCCGUGGCUGUCUUUGCCCGGUUGUUCAUUUCCUCCUGUGCUGGAGCCCAGCUGGAAUCCCAGCAGUCAGGAAAGAGGAAAGGAUGAACCCAAAGGAGGAAGAAACUCCCAGGCUCGUCCCAUCUCCUAAAGGAACUGCUGAAGGAAAUGGAG
Non-coding RNA from Phasianus colchicus (ring-necked pheasant), 261 nucleotides. The record is from RefSeq and is a predicted model, not a curated record. NCBI's taxonomy places the organism in Eukaryota, Metazoa, Chordata, Aves, Galliformes, Phasianidae.